Lolium rigidum is the source of this 930-nucleotide long non-coding RNA. RefSeq lists it as uncharacterized. The transcript has 3 exons. The record is from RefSeq and is a predicted model, not a curated record. Lineage: Eukaryota; Viridiplantae; Streptophyta; Magnoliopsida; Poales; Poaceae.
CUCAUGUAUUACGACUAAUGAUAUGUAUCAAUGAUUCAUGUCAGCUGUCGAAAAGCUGAGUGGAGGUCAUAUUCCAAAACCUCUUAUUUUCUAGCUAUAUAUUAAAUAUAUGGUGAAAUAAGCUGUUCUUCAUCACUUCCUUUAGUGCAUGGCUUCAGAAGAUAAAAAAAGUCAGCUGGUGUUCGCAUUUGAACUUCAUUUGUAUGAUUACAAAAAUUAGGCAAUUUAUUUGUUAUUCAUUGGGUCUCAGAUUUAAAUCUGCUAUGAAAUUCAGAUACAUGAUUUAUUCAAUCAUGUUUGUUACUCUUCUAACAGGUUCAACUUGCCAAUCACUUGGCCCGUGACAUGUCGAAUGAGCGGUAUUUUGGGCUUCUUUACUUGUGAGUGCCAACAUCAGUAAGGAAACUAAAGUCAGCCAAAGGAUCAGCAAAGUUGGUUGCCUAACUGCCGAACAGCUGCCAGAGACAUAGAAGAGGUCAGUAGUAGGUCCUCUCAAACAUGUUUCUGUAGUAUGUCCUCCGAUUGUGAGCUUUGGUUCCAAUCACUUAGCCCUUGACAUAUAAAAUGAGCGAUAUUUUGAGGUUCUUUACUUGUGAGUGUAGCAUCAGAGCUAAAGAAUCAGCUAAACAGCUACCUGCGACAUUGGAGAGGCUAUACGGCAAGUUCAAAGGUGCAACAAAUCCGAGCUUUACGCCGAAUUGGAAUAUGCGCUUCUAUUUUCGGUCACAUUUCUUUCACCACUCUACUCUUGCAAUCUUGCUAUCUCUCUUACCCGGUGGUCCUGAAGUAUUCCUGUGGCAUUGUACAUAGUACCAACAUUGAGCUAGGUUGAGUAUUUGGUUUUGGUUUUCAGUUUGUGUACGUGCAAACUCAGCUGUGGAAUAAAAUUCAGCUUGUGUACUCAUAAUGCACUCUGCCCGUUCCUGCUUA